Molecule: ribosomal RNA, 253 nt
Filed under: uncultured prokaryote
Description: partial 16S ribosomal RNA
Rfam family: Bacterial small subunit ribosomal RNA
Source: RNAcentral
ACGGGGGGAGCAAGCGUUGUUCGGAUUUACUGGGCGUAAAGGGUGCGUAGGCGGCGUGUCAAGUCAGUUGUGAAAUCUCCGAGCUUAACUCGGAACGGUCAACUGAUACUGUCAUGCUAGAGUGCAGAAGGGGCAAUCGGAAUUCUUGGUGUAGCGGUGAAAUGCGUAGAUAUCAAGAGGAACACCUGAGGUGAAGACGGGUUGCUGGGCUGACACUGACGCUGAAGCACGAAAGCUAGGGUAGCAAACGGGA